Long non-coding RNA from Ictalurus punctatus (channel catfish), 744 nucleotides. RefSeq lists it as uncharacterized. The transcript is spliced from 4 exons. The record is from RefSeq and is a predicted model, not a curated record. Lineage: Eukaryota; Metazoa; Chordata; Actinopteri; Siluriformes; Ictaluridae.
AUUACAUCACCUUCUAACUGAAGUAACCUGAAAAUGUCAAAAAGUAUUUCACCAUAAAAACACUGAUAUACACUCUGCCAGAUCUGCUUAGUGAACAGUUGAUCCAGAUAUUAGUUAGUCUUCUAUCUCAACUUGUUACGAUGUCCAAGUUUGUGCUGCUUGCUGUGGUCAUUAUACUACAAGUGUGCUGGACCAUGGCGGACAUUUCAGCCAAUGCAACUAUAUCCGAAAGACUUCUACAGAGGGCCGAAGGGGCAUACACGUAUGAGCACUUUCAGAACUGUUGCUUAAUCACAGUCCACAUACAAUACUGAAGAAACUGAAGACGAGGGUUGUGAAUGCUGGCAGUAUAGCUGUUGAAUACGCUCUAAUGUACUAUGAGGACCAGGUGAAGCCUGUGACUGACCCAUACAUUGAGUGGGCAAAAGAGACAACAAGCUCUUUUUGGGACAAAAUCAAAGAAAAAGUAUCCAGCACUGGGUUUGAUUAAAGUGACAAAAUAUCUGCAACACAACAAGAAUCAGUAAUGCCUUCUGUAUGCAUGUAUUCAGUGGUUCAUUCUAUACUGUGUGAAGUAGCCACAAACUGCAAGCACAUAGCUAAGUAAAUUAGUCAUGAGACUAUCUUGAAAUGACAUAUUUUAUUCAAAUGAAAUAUGCAUCUGUACAUCAGUUUUAAAUAUGUGCUCUAAUGUCACCAUCUUUUCAGUAUUAUGAUGGCAAAUAAAACAUUAUCUCAAUGGUA